AGGGUUCGAUCCUGGCUCAGGACGAACGCUGGCGGCGUGCUUUAUACAUGCAAGUCAAGGAGAAUCUAUUCUUCGGAAUAGCAGUAAACUGGCGAACGGGUGAGUAACACGUAGGUAACCUGCCCUAGAGACUGGGACAACUUCGGGAAACCGGAGCUAAAACCGGAUAAUGCAGCGGAUCCUUAGGGAUACAGUUGUUAAAGCGGGCUUCGGCUCGUACUUUAGGAUGGACCUGCGUCCGAUUAGCUUGUUGGUGGGGUAAAGGCCUACCAAGGCGAUGAUCGGUAGCUGGUCUGAGAGGAUGAUCAGCCACACUGGGAUUGAGAUACGGCCCAGACCUCUACGGGGGGCAGCAGUAGGGAAUUUUGCGCAAUGGGCGAAAGCCUGACGCAGCAACGCCGCGUGAUCGAUGAAGCUUCUAGGAGCGUAAAGAUCUGUCGUGAGGGAAGAAAAAUUCGGAGGUAAAUAAUUUUCGUUUUUGACGGUACCUCACAAGAAAGCACCGGCUAACUUCGUGCCAGCC
RNAcentral lists this ribosomal RNA (523 nucleotides) under uncultured Fidelibacterota bacterium. RNAcentral describes it as "bacterial SSU rRNA". It matches the Rfam family "Bacterial small subunit ribosomal RNA", at positions 8 to 513 of the family's 1533-position model. The record is from RNAcentral. Lineage: Bacteria; Pseudomonadati; Fidelibacterota.